UACGGAGGGUGCAAUCGUUGUCCGGAUUCACUGGGUGUAAAGGGUGUGUAGGCGGAGCAGCAAGUCAGUGGUGAAAGCCUGCGGCUUAACCGUAGAAUUGCCAUAGAUACUGCUGUUCUUGAGUACUGGAGAGGCUGCUAGAAUUCGUGGUGUAGCGGCGAAAUGCGUAGAUAUCACGAGGAAUACCAGAGGCGUAGGCGGGUAGCUGGACAGAUACUGACGCUGAGGCACGAAAGCGUGGGGAGCAAACAGG
This 253-nucleotide ribosomal RNA is filed under the name uncultured bacterium. RNAcentral describes it as "partial 16S ribosomal RNA". It matches the Rfam family "Bacterial small subunit ribosomal RNA", at positions 524 to 776 of the family's 1533-position model. The record is from RNAcentral.